This 2822-nucleotide ribosomal RNA is filed under the name Citrobacter freundii. Its description in RNAcentral is "partial 23S ribosomal RNA". It matches the Rfam family "Bacterial large subunit ribosomal RNA". The record is from RNAcentral. Lineage: Bacteria; Pseudomonadati; Pseudomonadota; Gammaproteobacteria; Enterobacterales; Enterobacteriaceae.
GGUUAAGCGACUAAGCGUACACGGUGGAUGCCCUGGCAGUCAGAGGCGAUGAAGGACGUGCUAAUCUGCGAUAAGCGUCGGUAAGGUGAUAUGAACCGUUAUAACCGGCGAUUUCCGAAUGGGGAAACCCAGUGUGAUUCGUCACACUAUCAUUACGUGAAUACAUAGCGUAAUGAAGCGAACCGGGGGAACUGAAACAUCUAAGUACCCCGAGGAAAAGAAAUCAACCGAGAUUCCCCCAGUAGCGGCGAGCGAACGGGGAGCAGCCCAGAGUCUGAAUCAGCUUGUGUGUUAGUGGAACGGUCUGGAAAGUCCGACGGUACAGGGUGAUAGUCCCGUACACCAAAAUGCACAGGUUGUGAACUCGAAGAGUAGGGCGGGACACGUGGUAUCCUGUCUGAAUAUGGGGGGACCAUCCUCCAAGGCUAAAUACUCCUGACUGACCGAUAGUGAACCAGUACCGUGAGGGAAAGGCGAAAAGAACCCCGGCGAGGGGAGUGAAAAAGAACCUGAAACCGUGUACGUACAAGCAGUGGGAGCAUCCUUUUGGGUGUGACUGCGUACCUUUUGUAUAAUGGGUCAGCGACUUAUAUUCUGUAGCAAGGUUAACCGUAUAGGGGAGCCGAAGGGAAACCGAGUCUUAACUGGGCGUUAAGUUGCAGGGUAUAGACCCGAAACCCGGUGAUCUAGCCAUGGGCAGGUUGAAGGUUGGGUAACACUAACUGGAGGACCGAACCGACUAAUGUUGAAAAAUUAGCGGAUGACUUGUGGCUGGGGGUGAAAGGCCAAUCAAACCGGGAGAUAGCUGGUUCUCCCCGAAAGCUAUUUAGGUAGCGCCUCGUGAACUCAUCUUCGGGGGUAGAGCACUGUUUCGGCUAGGGGGUCAUCCCGACUUACCAACCCGAUGCAAACUGCGAAUACCGAAGAAUGUUAUCACGGGAGACACACGGCGGGUGCUAACGUCCGUCGUGAAGAGGGAAACAACCCAGACCGCCAGCUAAGGUCCCAAAGUCAUGGUUAAGUGGGAAACGAUGUGGGAAGGCACAGACAGCCAGGAUGUUGGCUUAGAAGCAGCCAUCAUUUAAAGAAAGCGUAAUAGCUCACUGGUCGAGUCGGCCUGCGCGGAAGAUGUAACGGGGCUAAACCAUGCACCGAAGCUGCGGCAGCGACACUAUGUGUUGUUGGGUAGGGGAGCGUUCUGUAAGCCGUUGAAGGUGUAUCGUGAGGUAUGCUGGAGGUAUCAGAAGUGCGAAUGCUGACAUAAGUAACGAUAAUGCGGGUGAAAAACCCGCACGCCGGAAGACCAAGGGUUCCUGUCCAACGUUAAUCGGGGCAGGGUGAGUCGACCCCUAAGGCGAGGCCGAAAGGCGUAGUCGAUGGGAAACAGGUUAAUAUUCCUGUACUUGGUGUUACUGCGAAGGGGGGACGGAGAAGGCUAUGUUAGCCGGGCGACGGUUGUCCCGGUUUAAGCAUGUAGGCGGAGGUUCCAGGUAAAUCCGGUACCUUUUUAACGCUGAGGUGUGAUGACGAGGCACUACGGUGCUGAAGUAACAAAUGCCCUGCUUCCAGGAAAAGCCUCUAAGCAUCAGGUAACACGAAAUCGUACCCCAAACCGACACAGGUGGUCAGGUAGAGAAUACCAAGGCGCUUGAGAGAACUCGGGUGAAGGAACUAGGCAAAAUGGUGCCGUAACUUCGGGAGAAGGCACGCUGAUAUGUAGGUGAAGUGAUUUACUCAUGGAGCUGAAAUCAGUCGAAGAUACCAGCUGGCUGCAACUGUUUAUUAAAAACACAGCACUGUGCAAACACGAAAGUGGACGUAUACGGUGUGACGCCUGCCCGGUGCCGGAAGGUUAAUUGAUGGGGUUAUCCGUAAGGAGAAGCUCUUGAUCGAAGCCCCGGUAAACGGCGGCCGUAACUAUAACGGUCCUAAGGUAGCGAAAUUCCUUGUCGGGUAAGUUCCGACCUGCACGAAUGGCGUAAUGAUGGCCAGGCUGUCUCCACCCGAGACUCAGUGAAAUUGAACUCGCUGUGAAGAUGCAGUGUACCCGCGGCAAGACGGAAAGACCCCGUGAACCUUUACUAUAGCUUGACACUGAACACUGGUCCUUGAUGUGUAGGAUAGGUGGGAGGCUUUGAAGUGUGGACGCCAGUCUGCAUGGAGCCAUCCUUGAAAUACCACCCUUUAAUGGCUGGUGUUCUAACGUGGACCCGUUAUCCGGGUUGCGGACAGUGUCUGGUGGGUAGUUUGACUGGGGCGGUCUCCUCCUAAAGAGUAACGGAGGAGCACGAAGGUUAGCUAAUCCUGGUCGGACAUCAGGAGGUUAGUGCAAAGGCAUAAGCUAGCUUGACUGCGAGAGUGACGGCUCGAGCAGGUGCGAAAGCAGGUCUUAGUGAUCCGGUGGUUCUGAAUGGAAGGGCCAUCGCUCAACGGAUAAAAGGUACUCCGGGGAUAACAGGCUGAUACCGCCCAAGAGUUCAUAUCGACGGCGGUGUUUGGCACCUCGAUGUCGGCUCAUCACAUCCUGGGGCUGAAGUAGGUCCCAAGGGUAUGGCUGUUCGCCAUUUAAAGUGGUACGCGAGCUGGGUUUAGAACGUCGUGAGACAGUUCGGUCCCUAUCUGCCGUGGGCGCUGGAGAAUUGAGGGGGGCUGCUCCUAGUACGAGAGGACCGGAGUGGACGCAUCACUGGUGUUCGGGUUGUCAUGCCAAUGGCAUUGCCCGGUAGCUAAAUGCGGAAGAGAUAAGUGCUGAAAGCAUCUAAGCACGAAACUUGCCCCGAGAUGAGUUCUCCCUGAGACUUUAAGUCUCCUGAAGGAACGUU